UAGGGAAUAUUGGACAAUGGGGGCAACCCUGAUCCAGCCAUGCCGCGUGAGUGAAGAAGGCCCUCGGGUUGUAAAGCUCUUUUGUCCGGAAAGAAAAGCUUCGGGUUAAUACCCCGGGGUUCUGACGGUACCGACAGAAAAAGCACCGGCUAACUACGUGCCAGCAGCCGCGGUAAUACGUAGGGUGCGAGCGUUAAUCGGAAUUACUGGGCGUAAAGGGUGCGCAGGCGGUCUUGCAAGUCAGAUGUGAAAGCCCCGGGCUUAACCUGGGAAUUGCGUUUGAAACUACAAGACUAGAGUGCAGCAGAGGGGAGUGGAAUUCCAUGUGUAGCAGUGAAAUGCGUAGAGAUGUGGAAGAACACCGAUGGCGAGGGCAGCUCCCUGGGUUGACACUGACGCUCAUGCACGAAAGCGUGGGGAGCAAACA
Molecule: ribosomal RNA, 427 nt
Filed under: uncultured bacterium
Lineage: Bacteria
Description: bacterial SSU rRNA
Rfam family: Bacterial small subunit ribosomal RNA
Source: RNAcentral